Molecule: ribosomal RNA, 253 nt
Filed under: uncultured bacterium
Lineage: Bacteria
Description: partial 16S ribosomal RNA
Rfam family: Bacterial small subunit ribosomal RNA
Source: RNAcentral
UACGUAGGGUGCAAGCGUUGUCCGGAAUUAUUGGGCGUAAAGAGCUCGUAGGCGGUUUGUUGCGUCGGCUGUGAAAUCCCGAGGCUCAACCUCGGGUCUGCAGUCGAUACGAGCAAACUAGAGUGUUGCAGGGGAGACUGGAAUUCCUGGUGUAGCGGUGAAAUGCGCAGAGAUCGGGAGGAACACCCGUAGCGAAGGCGGCACUCUGGGCCGGUAUUGACGCUGAUGCGCGAAAGCCAGGGGAGCAAACGGG